GGAACGUCGUUUUCGUUGGGCCUACCGCUUGGGUGUCGGUGGAACUGGAGGCGGCGCUGUUUGGGCUGUGGCCUGUGGGCGACUUGCCCUUUCCUUCCUCCGCGCAAGCUAUGUCGCCAUCGGUCUCUCCUCCCUCUUCCCAAAUCGCCGUCUCGGAUUCUGGCCUCCUCCACCCUAAUCAGCACAUCAAUCGCCAGCUCGCUCCCCUCUCACCCUCCUGUGCUGAUUACCCGCAGCUGCACGGACCUUCUGUCCCCAGGCCGCGGCCAACCCUACCGGGGCUCGGUUCGCUGAUAUGGCGGUCUGGCGGUCGUCGCCGCCACCUCCCACACCUCCUGCGACUGCAAGCACGCUCAUUUGCGUGACCUUUAUUCUUGCUCGUGUUCAUCAUCCGCCACUUCGACGCACUGGCCUCGAGUUGGGUCGCCAGUAGCCCAGUAUCCCCGGCAGGUACUGGCUACUGCUGAUUCCUCGACUAAUCUUCGGCUACUACCUCUUCAACUCUGAUCCUGGUAGGUACACCGGCCUCUCACUCUCUUCUUUCUGUACUCUGUUGUCCCCAGCCAUCAUGUCGUCAAGGUUCUGUGGCGGUUUUAGUGUCUUACUGUGGUGGUGAGCUCAACCCUCCAGUUGGAUUUCAGAAUCUCGGUGACCAGCUUCUUGAUUCAGUAUUUCAGUUAGCCCAUGGAGAGAUGGACGUUUGUGCAGGUGGGACUGUACCUAUUGCAACCAAAGAGACUGUCAACAGUAAAUUCGUUUGGGUACCAAUAUCGAAUGGGAGUGUUGACUACUGGUUUGUUUGGGUACUGAAAUCAAGGGCCAUGGGUUACUUUAUUUGAGGACUGGAAUCAAAUGAUAUUGAUAGGAGGAGUACUGAUUGUUUGAUUUUCUUAGCAGGCCCCAGUGUUAAUCCCAUGAAGUGCUCAUAGCAGCUGGCAUUGUGCAGUAUGUCCUGCUUCACAUGAGGUUGGUUUAGAAUGAAUCCGACUAGACAUUCAGGGCGAUACUCUUACCUCUGCAUUUCCAUUACCUUUAACUGUCACACCACGCUUCGAUCUUGCCGUGGAAGUAGAGAGUAGUUUAGUUGAUAUAUUGAUUGCUACGUGAAGAGAUCAAUUGAUUAACUGAACGUAGUAACUGCUACCUUGUGAUAUCCUUGACAAAAUAUGAUGUUGGGGGACAAAUAGGAUAUGCUUGGCAAGUUGAUGUGGGAAGAGGAACCACAAGCUUCGCAGCAAACUCAAUGCCACACUGGAUUAAUGACAAAUUAGUUGCUUGGGGUUUUGUUAACUAGCAAGGAAAAAAUCAGGGCGGUGCUGGUAGUUCAGCAGUAGCGAACAAAAAUAUCACGAAGUAACUUGUUUCAAGAUCGCAUUAGUAACUUCAAGAAUGCACGUUGUUAUCUGUGAUAUGUGUUCUUGUGAUUAUGCAUACUAUAUAGUAUAUAAGUAUCAUGAUGCUCCUUGCGCUUCUAGCUAGAUGUUAUCCUUUCAGGUUCUCUACUUUGUUGAUGCAUCUAUACUUUACUUCCAUGUUACGAUAUGAUGUGUCAUGUUGGAGCUUGCGAUGUCUGCAUAGCUGGACCUCAACAAUUGUAAUAUUUGUCUGAGAGAAAGAUGAAUUGCUUGUGAGAGUUUGUGCAUGUAAACUGGGUGUGCUGUCAUUCAGGUUGGAUUCGUGGUGUGGCAGCAUUGGUUCCAUGCAUCGGCUGUUGUCCCCAUCCUCCUGCCUUUCUUGCCGCUUGGCUAUGAUCCCAAGUCUCGCUUUAUGCACAUCCUCAGGCCUCUAGCCAAGCUUGUGAGUCGCUGGAUGGCCUUCUGCUGCAUGUGCUGAAUAAGCUUCUGGAUGGCCCUCCGCUACUUAUUCUCCAAACUACCACAAAGGUUCUGCACCUUCCUUGAGUCCCUGCACAACAACCAGAAGUUCUACAACCACCGAUAUCUGCAAGAAUAGCACGCUUCCGUAAAUUCUGCAUUGGUAACUCCUCACAUAUAUUACCAGUGACUCGGAUGGCUAAAUAAACAUCAAACAUAUAUAGAUAUACUCUAGCCAUACUUUGUGGUCUAUGCAUCAGAGCUUUCCUUGAUAUUACAAGUUAUUGUGCAACCUUUGCAAUUUUUUCACACGGUCAUAAUGUGAGCCGUUGUAGCAAACUAAAAUAGUUUGGUAAAACGGCUUACAUUAUUGAACGGAGGAUAUAGUUCUUGUUUUCUUAGGUUUUGUGAUGUACAUCCGCAACAAAAAAAAAUUACGUUCAGUCCGAAAUUUGUAUCUUUUGUCCAUAGUGAAGUUGAUCUUUUUGUAUAUUUGAUGAAUUUUUUUUUGCUCUUUGGGUUUCAUACUUCGAUUGACAUAGAUUUGUGUUUAGAUACGAUUGUGCAGGUUGAGGCGGUUGUUAUUGAGGGGGAUAGUGUAUUGUGGCGGAGGUACCUGGAGCUGCAAAAGCAUUGUGAGUGAAUACUGCAACUUACUUAUCUCUUCGGCCCUUUUUCUUCCUUACAGCAAGAAACAAGGUCAAUGCGGGCAAGAACGAUAAAUCUGUUGAUGAUGUAUGUGCUUUGAUUCUGAAACACUUUACUGAAUUUUCUGUGGAGAAGCUUCAGCAGCCGGUUGUGGUUUCUUUAAUUGAGAAGCCAUUUUCUAAACCUCUUGAGGGUGCUGUCAAGUUAAUUUUGGUGCAGCAUUCUAUGACAGCUCUGGAACUGGUGCUUGGGGUUUCAUUGCUAGAACUGACCAGGGAGAAGCCAUUGGGGCUGGAGCCGAAGCAUGUGUUGCUGCUGUCGAAGCAACUGCUGAUCUGGGUAUACUUAAGGUCAUCUUUGAAUAUGAUUCAGAAAUCCUUGUGAGUGCGCUGAAGUCUACGUGCUAUGAUUUUUCUAGCAUUGGCAUUCUGGUCCGAGAAGCAAGAUGCACAUGCAUCGUCACUUUUGAUUUUUGUGAUUUUGUUCACUGUGGCCUUGCCCAUACCAUUGCUGAUUAUGGUUAUACGUGUAGAACAUAGCUUCUACAGAUGAUCACUUUAUCCUGCUACAAGAUGUAAGGGAAUUCUACCGCGACUGUCCUGCAGUGCAUCAACUGAUUGAUUAUUUCCCCAAUAACAUAACAGCGGCACCCACUAAAAUUAUCGGAUGAAGCCAAAAAUGCGCACACCGCACGAAGAAACAAAAUGCGAACAUCAGAAAACGGCGCAGCAAAGCGCGCAAGGUCCUUCUAGUUUUCACGAUGCCAGAAGAGGAGACGACGUACCACGGGACACCACCUCUAGAGAUUUAAUAUAGUAGAGAUAAGAAGGGAAAAGAUAAUAUUGUUGUUGAUGCUCUA
RNA transcript from Lolium rigidum, 3321 nucleotides. RefSeq lists it as uncharacterized. The transcript is spliced from 2 exons. NCBI's taxonomy places the organism in Eukaryota, Viridiplantae, Streptophyta, Magnoliopsida, Poales, Poaceae. The record is from RefSeq and is a predicted model, not a curated record.